AUUGAACGCUGGCGGCAGGCCUAACACAUGCAAGUCGAGCGAGCGGCGGACGGGUGAGUAAUGUCUGGGGAACUGCCCGAUAGAGGGGGAUAACUACUGGAAACGGUAGCUAAUACCGCCUACUAUCGGAUGAACCCAUAUGGGAUUAGCUAGUAGGUGGGGUAAAGGCUCACCUAGGCGACGAUCCCUAGCUGGUCUGAGAGGAUGACCAGCCACACUGGGACUGAGACACGGCCCAGACUCCUACGGGAGGCAGCAGUGGGGAAUAUUGCACAAUGGGCGCAUGCCUGAUGCAGCCAUGCCGCGUGUAUGAAGAAGGCCUUCGGGUUGUAAAGUACUGUCAGCGGGGAGGCGUUACCCGCAGAAGAAGCACCGGCUAACUCCGUGCCAGCAGCCGCGGUAAUUC
This 406-nucleotide ribosomal RNA is filed under the name uncultured bacterium. Its description in RNAcentral is "partial 16S ribosomal RNA". It matches the Rfam family "Bacterial small subunit ribosomal RNA", at positions 30 to 526 of the family's 1533-position model. The record is from RNAcentral.